This 82-nucleotide transfer RNA is filed under the name Nocardioides alkalitolerans. Its description in RNAcentral is "tRNA-Tyr". It matches the Rfam family "tRNA". From Rfam's summary of the family: Transfer RNA (tRNA) molecules are approximately 80 nucleotides in length. Their secondary structure includes four short double-helical elements and three loops (D, anti-codon, and T loops). Lineage: Bacteria; Bacillati; Actinomycetota; Actinomycetes; Propionibacteriales; Nocardioidaceae. The record is from RNAcentral. RNAcentral also lists the same sequence under 4 other names.
GGCGGGUUGCCCGAGCGGCCAAUGGGAGCGGACUGUAAAUCCGUCGGCGUAGCCUUCGAAGGUUCGAAUCCUUCACCCGCCA